AGUUCUUUAGUAUAAAUAAGUAUGUUUGAUUUCCAAUCAAGGGGUUUAUAGAAUUA
RNAcentral lists this transfer RNA (56 nucleotides) under Cylicostephanus goldi. RNAcentral describes it as "tRNA-Gly". Lineage: Eukaryota; Metazoa; Nematoda; Chromadorea; Rhabditida; Strongylidae. The record is from RNAcentral.